RNAcentral lists this long non-coding RNA (416 nucleotides) under Panax ginseng (ginseng). Its description in RNAcentral is "long non-coding RNA (PGIN_LNC015673)". Lineage: Eukaryota; Viridiplantae; Streptophyta; Magnoliopsida; Apiales; Araliaceae. The record is from RNAcentral.
AUACGAAGGAUGGAGGAAUACCCCCAAAGGCACAAAACAAAUGUCCUAGAGUGGGAAAACUCAGAGGAGGGUAUGAUAGUAAUGCAAAAUUUAGAAACAAUUCAGAAUCAAGUAAUCUGCUAGCUAAGUUGAUAGUGCGCCAACAUCAGGAUACGAGGCAGUUUUUCACUCAACUAUCAGAAAGCCAAGAGAAAAAGGAGGUUAACCAUAAUGAAAACCCAUAUCUCUCCAUGAUGAACUAGCUAAAUGAAGAAGAUCAAAGCAGGCUGAAAGUACAAGAAAAGGGGGAUGAUAAAAUUGCUAGAAGAUCUCGUCAAUGGAAAAAUCGCUCGGGGGAAUGAGAAUUCUCAAAGAAGAAAGAUCAAACAACCUCCAAAAGAGCCCAAAAAUUCACCCCGCUGAGCAAAUUAAAUGAA